Molecule: non-coding RNA, 684 nt
Organism: Myodes glareolus (Bank vole)
Lineage: Eukaryota; Metazoa; Chordata; Mammalia; Rodentia; Cricetidae
Source: RefSeq, a predicted model, not a curated record
AAGAAUUAGUCAGGGCUGCCAACACCCCGACGGAGAAGUUGAGGUCAACAUCUAAUUUGAAAUAUUAAAAGUGGAUACAAAACUAUUUCCGCAAUGCAGACAAUUAAGUGUGCUGUUGUUGGUGAUGGUGCUGUUGGUAAAACAUGUCUCCUGAUAUCCUAUACAACAAACAAAUUCCAUCGGAAAAUGUACCAUUUUCGACAACUAUGCAGUUACAGUUAUGAUUGGUGGAGAGCCAUAUACUCUUGGACUUUUUUAUACUACAGGGCAAGAGGAUUAUGACAGAUUACGACCGCUGAGUUAUCCACAAACAUACGUUUUUCUAGUAUGCUUUUCAGUGGUUUCUUCAUCCUCAUUUGAAAACAUGAAAGAAAAGUGGGUGCCUGAGAUAACUCACCACUGUCCAAAGACUCCUUUCUUGCUUGUUGGGACCCAAAUUGAUCUCAGAGAUGAUCCCUCUACUAUUGAGAAACUUGCCAAGAAAAAAAAAAGCCUAUCGCUCCAGAGACUGCUGAAAAGCUGGACCAGGAUUUGAAGGCUGUCAAGUAUGUGGAAUGCUCUGUUCUCACACAGAAAGGCCUAAGGAAUGUGUUUGAUGAAGCAAUAUUGACUGCCCUGGAACCUCCAGAACCAAAGAAGAGCCGCAGGUUCUACAGAAACCCGCUGUGACAGGUACAUAGGCAU